Molecule: long non-coding RNA, 905 nt
Organism: Macadamia integrifolia
Lineage: Eukaryota; Viridiplantae; Streptophyta; Magnoliopsida; Proteales; Proteaceae
Exons: 3
Source: RefSeq, a predicted model, not a curated record
CGAAAAAUUUUCCCUAAAUACCGUAAAAUUAGAUUUUCCUUUGUUUGUUGUCUAAUUUGGAAAAUUUUCAUCUGGUGAAAUUUUACAAGAAGCUACCAUUUUUAGGAAAAUCGGAUGGAAAAUUUACCGUAGAAUUUGUCGAUAAAAUGACUUGGAAAACCUAUCGGGUUUGAGACUCAUUCGUCAUCUCCUUCUUCCCUCUUCCCUGAUCACCUUCUCUCCUUCUCAUCUCAGAGUCGAUCUGAUCUCUUCUCCUUUUUCAUCUCAGAGCCGAUCUCCUUCUCAUCGUAGAGUGGAGAAAAUCUCGGUUGGGAUUGCAAGCGACGUUGGUGCGACUGUUGAGUUUCUCAUUUUCUCCAUUCUGCAAUCGGUCUUCGCAGCGUAUGAGUGAAAGUUCCAGAGUUCCAAUUUCAAACUUUGAUUUCAUUCACUGGGUGUCGUCAAGUCUGAGAGGUAGCAGAGAUAAGCUUGAUAUUCUCGAUCUGCAACAAAAUCUAUUGGAUUUGCUACAAAAUCUGCUUGAUCUAAAAGAGAUCGAGGUUUCAAUACAUAUCUCUUAGUUGGAAGGUCCGUCUCUCUCUCUCUCUCUCUCAGAGUUUGAUCCUCACUGGAUGGAUAAUGAUCAAGAGAGGGAGGUUUUUAAGAGUAAAUGAAAGAAACCUGCAAGGAAGAAAGGUCAACAGUUAUGUUGGACAGAGACAAUGGACAAUGCUCUCAUUGAUCUCCUUGUUGAAGAAACAGCGAAAGAGAAUAAAUGUGACAAGACUUUCACAGACCCAACAUUCAUCUUUGUUUAUCGUUUAAUCUAAUGUUAUUUAUUUUUAGCAGAUAUUUACAUUUUCUCGUUUCGUAUAUGUACUCUAUACUAUCUGUCCUUAGUAUGGGUUACAUUGAAUUAGUUAGCA